CUUCCGGAAUGUCUAGCAUGCGAGUCAUUGUAGCAAUACAAGGCAUACGGCUCAGUAACGCGUAGUCAACCUACCCUAUGGACGGGAAUAACCUCGGGAAACUGAGAAUAAUACCCGAUAGAACAUUAUGCCUGGAAUGGUUUAUGUUCCAAAUGAUUUAUCGCCGUAGGAUGGGACUGCGGCCUAUCAGUUUGUUGGUGAGGUAAUGGCCCACCAAGACUAUUACAGGUACGGGCUCUGAGAGGAGUGGCCCGGAGAUGGGUACUGAGACACGGACCCAGGCCCUAUGGGGCGCAGCAGGCGAGAAAACUUUGCAAUGUGCGAAAGCACGACAAGGUUAAUCCGAGUGGUUUGUGCUAAACGAACCUUUUGUCAGUCCUAGAAACACUGACGAAUAAGGGGUGGGCAAGUUCUGGUGUCAGCCGCCGCGGUAAAACCAGCACCUCAAGUGGUCAGGAUGAUUAUUGGGCCUAAAGCAUCCGUAGCCGGCUCUGUAAGUUUUCGGUUAAAUCUGUACGCUUAACGUACAGGCUGCCGGGAAUACUGCAGAGCUAGGGAGUGGGAGAGGUAGACGGUACUCGGUAGGAAGGGGUAAAAUCCUUUGAUCUAUUGAUGACCACCUGUGGCGAAGGCGGUCUACCAGAACACGUCCGACGGUGAGGGAUGAAAGCUGGGGGAGCAAACCGGAUUAGAUACCCGGGUAGUCCCAGCUGUAAACUAUGCAAACUCAGUGAUGCAUUGGCUUGUGGCCAAUGCAGUGCUGCAGGGAAGCCGUUAAGUUUGCCGCCUGGGGAAGUACGUACGCAAGUAUGAAACUUAAAGGAAUUGGCGGGGGGAGCACCACAAGGGGUGAAGCCUGCGGUUCAAUUGGAGUCAACGCCGGG
This 884-nucleotide ribosomal RNA is filed under the name uncultured archaeon. RNAcentral's name for it is "bacterial SSU rRNA". It matches the Rfam family "Archaeal small subunit ribosomal RNA", at positions 30 to 922 of the family's 1478-position model. The record is from RNAcentral.